Molecule: long non-coding RNA, 444 nt
Filed under: Urocitellus parryii (Arctic ground squirrel)
Lineage: Eukaryota; Metazoa; Chordata; Mammalia; Rodentia; Sciuridae
Description: lncRNA (ENSUPAG00010004484.1)
Source: RNAcentral
UGCGGUUCUGGGUUAUAGAGUUCCCACAGACCCGCAGAGACUCAGAUCCUCCAGACCCCAAGGAUGGGGGUCCCGGCUCUGCAAACCCUCCUCCUGCUGCUCUCUCAGACCCUGGCCUUAACCGAGACCUGMGACGUGGUGAAUCCCAGGGCAGAGCCGCGGGUGCCGUGGAUGGAGCAGGUGGGACCUGAGUACUGGGACCGGAACACAUGGAUCGUCAAGCGCAGUGCACAAGCCUUUCUGAGUGAUUCUAAACAACCUGCUCGGCUAGACCAGAGCGACGCAGUGUCACGCGGGGAAAGUCCGUGGGGCCGGACCGACAAGAGUGGCGGUGCCAGGAGCUCAUACCUACCAGACUCUCCGUGGCUGCAUCCUGGGGCGGCACCUGCGCCUCCUCCGCGGGUACUGUCAGGACGCCUACUUUGGUGGAUUACAAUGAGCUGA